UGGCGCCCAGCCAGCUACCAUCAGAAUUAGCUCAUUGUUCAAUAUAACCAGCACAGGCAACCAAAGCCUGCGAGAAAAAGGAGGGAGGGAGAGAGAGAGAGAGACCCCCCUCCCCGAGCUCUUGCUGUUGCCCCCACCCCCUUUUUCUUUUCUCCCACCCUCCCUUUGCAAGGCUGCCUCUGAAAGAGGUGCAGUCAUUCCUACCCACACCCCCUUGCCCAACCCCCCUCUCCCCCCCUCUCCCCUUCUAUAAAUUCCCUGCUGUAGCAUGCUGCCCUUUUUGAAUCCACAUUUGUGUUUCAGAUCAUGUAGAAAGGACAGAAAGUGAGGAGGGAGCGGGGGCUUUUGUCUAGUGUUCUCCCUGUGCUGCUCAAAAGAACGUGCAGCCCUAAGUCUUAAUUGAACCUGAGAAUGGUUUAUCAUCCAAGGUUCACAGAAAGCCAGAAGCACAUUCCAAUCAGCCAUGAGCAUGGAGGGUUUCUUCAGGACAACCUACCCAUCCCAAAGGAAGUCAAUCGCAAAAAGAACGACAAGGUGGAAGCUCCGCUCCUGGCAUCAGCAAAUCGCUAUGGACACCAUUUCACCAAAAUAAAUUACCUCUCCUCUUUUUAAUCAUAACUCCUCAUUUGUAUUAAAUAUGAUGUAUGGGUGUUGAUGAGGUCAUCAUGGUGUCAUAUAUCGGGAAUUGUUUCUGUGUAAAUCAUACGAAGAAAAUUACGGGACUCUGAGCCUUUCUAUAGAGAAUUACAGUGGGGGGGAAAUACGUAUCAUGAAACCGGUUUAUAACCAUUCUGACUCAAGUCAAAGCUCUCAGAAUUUCACACUGUGAAUCCAAGUUUACAAACUUUACAGGUGGGCCUUCAGGCCUGGUUCUACCACAACAAUGUCUUCCACUAAUCAAAACUCAACAGACCGCAUGCAACUGGUAACUUUGCUGCCUCUUCAUUUCCAUGAUUCCGAACUGCUUCUUGCAGAGGCUGAGAGUCCCCCUUUUAUUUCAUUUUAGAUGUAACAAGCCUAGUAGUUUAUUUUCAUCGAUUGUCUGUAUAUCUCUAUAUUUUAUCCAUGUACUCUUUUGAUGUAUAGAAGUAGUAUGAAACUCAUGGUUUCCUUGUGGUAAGUGACUGAGAUGCUGCCACGGGAUUUGAGACACUGAUGAAUGGUGCUAUUUUGGACUUUAAACGUGCUCCUUGGCAAGGUAGCUCUGAUGGAGUUAUUUUUAAUUUCCAUGUUCUAAGAAGGUGUUGGUACUUCGUUCUCGUUCUUUAGACUGGACUGACUUGUUUCCUUGUGUCUUCAGUGUGGCUUUCUUAUUCAGUGUUGUAGGGUGAGUAAUUACUAAUACAGUAAGUGCGGAACCGAUUCCCACCUGGGUGUGCUCACAAACUUGAAAUGGUAAGUGGGAGCAAUCACAAAACUGUAAUUUACUACGAGUUCCUUUCUGCCAUCCUGCUUAUAUCAUUUGGAUAAAGAAUAGCAAUAAUUUUCAUACGGUCUUUAGGGGUCUUCUUAAUGUUUUUUGUCUUUUUUAUUUACUAGGAAGGCUUUUUUUUCCAAAGGGAGGGUUAGCAUGUUUUUACAUGUCCUCUUAAAAUCAAUAAGAAUUGGCUGGUUUCCCCCCUCCCCCCAAAAACAUAAUCGUUCCUUUAAAUGUAUAAAAUGACAAACUCUUAAAAAAGCAAUGAAUAGAAUUCCACAGUCUUUCCAAUGUGUGGGUUUUACAUUUUUGUUCUUGCUCCCAGGGUAUUAGGAAACAAAAUACAAUACAAAAUUGUACCAUCUCCUCAUGGAAUGUUGUUGUGUUAGACACAGUCUGGAAGCCCACCUUGAUUUUUUUUAUAUAACUCUGUCUUUCAGCUCUUCCUUUAACUGGGCAGGUUUUGACCUGAACUGUUUAGCUUCUGACUGUUAAAUACCAAUGCAUGCACUGCAAUUCUUAGUUUUCUUUCCACUUCCUCCUCCUCUUCCUCCUCCUCCUUCCCUAUUCUCGUGCGCUUUCUUUCUAGUAGACUAGAUAAGCGUCAAUUGUGCUGUAUAUACAUAUAGCAAGAAUCAGUAUUCAGCAGUUGUGGCAUUUAUGUAUAGUUGCAGUUGUGUACUGCUGAAAAUGUAGGCUUUUGUAACAGUGUGAUCUUUAAUAAUGCACUACAAGUACCCAAUGUAUUUUAGCUCUUUUAGUAGGAUUUGUUCAAUAAAUAUGCAAGCUCUAAGAGUAACUAUAACA
This is a non-coding RNA of Podarcis muralis (Common wall lizard), 2224 nucleotides long. Lineage: Eukaryota; Metazoa; Chordata; Lepidosauria; Squamata; Lacertidae. The record is from RefSeq and is a predicted model, not a curated record.